RNAcentral lists this ribosomal RNA (804 nucleotides) under uncultured bacterium. Its description in RNAcentral is "bacterial SSU rRNA". It matches the Rfam family "Bacterial small subunit ribosomal RNA", at positions 190 to 986 of the family's 1533-position model. The record is from RNAcentral.
AGGGAGCCUCUUCAAAUGAAAGCUUCCGCACGAGGACGGGCCUGCGUCCUAUCAGCUAGUUGGCAGGGUAAAAGCCUACCAAGGCGACGACGGGUAGCUGGUCUGAGAGGAUGAUCAGCCACACUGGCACUGGAACACGGGCCAGACUCCUACGGGAGGCAGCAGUGAGGAAUUUUGCGCAAUGGGAGCAAUCCUGACGCAGCAACGCCGCGUGGGCGAUGAUGGCCUUCGGGUCGUAAAGCCCUGUCGGGCGGGAAGAAAUAUUGUGAGGUGAAUAGCCUUGCAAGUUGACGGUACCGCCAGAGGAAGCACCGGCUAACUCCGUGCCAGCAGCCGCGGUAAUACGGAGGGUGCGAGCGUUAUUCGGAAUUACUGGGCGUAAAGCGCGUGCAGGCGGGAGGAUAAGUCUGAUGUGAAAGCCCGGGGCUCAACCCCGGAAGAGCAUUGGAAACUAUUUUUCUUGAGUCCUGGAGAGGAAGGGGGAAUUCCCGGUGUAGAGGUGAAAUUCGUAGAGAUCGGGAGGAAUACCAGUGGCGAAGGCGCCCUUCUGGACAGAGACUGACGCUGAGACGCGAAAGCAUGGGGAGCAAACAGGAUUAGAUACCCUGGUAGUCCACGCUGUAAACGAUGAUCACUGGGUGUAGCGGGUACUCAUUCCUGCUGUGCCGCAGCUAACGCGUUAAGUGAUCCGCCUGGGGACUACGGUCGCAAGACUAAAACUCAAGGAAUUGACGGGGGCCCGCACAAGCAGCGGAGCAUGUUCUUUAAUUCGAUGCACGCGAAGAACCUUACCUGGACUUGACA